AUUACCUAACGCUUUAAUCCGUUUCAGAUGGGAAAUUUUGGUGAUCUCUUAGGUACCGAAUUGUUGAAAUUCGAUCUUAAGGUUCGCAAAACUUCAACUCUGCAUCCAAAUUUCUGAAAAUUCUCACUAGGAAACUCCCUAUUCGACUUCUCGUUGUCUUGAUUUGUAAUCACACUCAGAAGCUACUGUGAAUCGAUUUCGACGACGCUCCAUUGAGCAAUGCAGAGCAUCAAACAGCUCCAUAAGCAAUCCAGCAUCAAUCACCGGCGGGAUGAAGAAGUUCCGACGGUUCCAACAUCGCCGUAUUCGCCAAAAGCUCUCAAACACCCCAGAUCUCUGCCCAGAUCCAUCAAUUACCUCUUCCGAGAGCAGAGGCUUCUGUUUGUUUUUGUCGGCAUUUUAAUUGGCUCUACGUUCUUCAUUCUCCAGCCCACUCUGUCCCGUAUUGGCCCCUCUGAAGCUGGUUCUGCAAUUCGCAGAUCGUUUUCUACAAGUUUGACGAGCAGGGACGAGGUUUCGGGGUCGGGGAUAUAUGGACUUGGUAAAACGGGAGGCAGAAUCCCCGUCGGUAUUGGCCGCCGUAGGUGGAGGAUUGUUGUCACCGGUGGAGCUGGAUUUGUGGGAAGUCAUCUUGUGGAUAAGCUAAUUGAACGAGGGGAUGAUGUGAUUGUCAUUGACAACUUCUUCACUGGUAGAAAGGAGAAUUUGGUGCAUCAUUUGCGAAAUCCGCGAUUCGAGCUCAUUCGACAUGAUGUGGUUGAGCCAAUUCUUUUGGAGGUGGAUCAAAUAUAUCACUUGGCUUGUCCAGCUUCUCCUGUUCAUUACAAGUACAAUCCUGUCAAGACUAUUAAGACAAAUGUAAUGGGUACCUUGAAUAUGCUUGGCUUGGCAAAGAGAAUUGGGGCUAGAUUUCUACUUACGAGUACGAGUGAGGUUUAUGGUGAUCCACUUGAGCAUCCUCAGAAGGAAACAUAUUGGGGAAAUGUAAAUCCCAUAGGCGAGAGAAGCUGCUAUGAUGAGGGCAAGAGAACUGCAGAGACCUUAGCUAUGGAUUACCAUAGAGGUGCUGAAGUUGAGGUUCGAAUUGCUCGUAUUUUUAAUACAUACGGACCCCGUAUGUGUUUAGAUGAUGGGCGUGUUGUUAGCAACUUUGUUGCACAGGCCAUCCGCAAACAGCCAUUGACUGUUUAUGGUGAUGGAAAGCAAACACGGAGCUUUCAAUAUGUCUCUGACUUGGUUAACGGUCUGGUCGCGCUAAUGGAAGGUGAACAUGUAGGGCCUUUCAACCUGGGUAAUCCAGGAGAAUUUACCAUGCUUGAGCUGGCUGAGGUUGUCAAAGAAACUAUAGAUCCAAGUGCGACAAUAGAGUUUAGAGCAAAUACUGCUGAUGAUCCUCACAAGAGAAAACCUGACAUUAGCAAAGCAAAGUCAUUGCUCAACUGGGAGCCCAAGGUCGCCCUGAGAGAAGGACUGCCUCUCAUGGUGAGCGACUUCCAGAAGCGCAUUUUGAUUGAAGAUGAAGGGAAAGGUUUCUAAUGAAGAAAAUUGCUAGGAAUUCGACAUAUCUAUGCUGUUGGUGAAAAGGUCUUCUCGGCCAGAUGCUUUGUUUUCUUAACCGAGCACGCUUCGGCAACCUGAUGUAUGGUUUUUAGAAGCAGCCCUAUCUGUUUGUAUGGGCAUUGAAUGUCCUCUUAUAUCUCUGGGCCUGUCACUCUCACCUGCCGCAUUACACUUCAUAGAUGUAUCGCUGCAAAUAGGCAUCACAUUCGUAUAUUGUAUUUGUCAACAUGAAUGAUACGCUGGUGAUGAAUUGUUUCUU
This is an RNA transcript of Cucurbita maxima (winter squash), 1819 nucleotides long. It is a transcript of the gene named UDP-glucuronic acid decarboxylase 1-like, with no coding region annotated. The transcript has 9 exons. The record is from RefSeq and is a predicted model, not a curated record. NCBI's taxonomy places the organism in Eukaryota, Viridiplantae, Streptophyta, Magnoliopsida, Cucurbitales, Cucurbitaceae.